AACGAACGCUGGCGGCAUGCCUAACACAUGCAAGUCGAACGAGAUCUUCAGGUCUAGUGGCGCACGGGUGCGUAACGCGUGGGAAUCUGCCCUUUGGUUCGGAAUAACAGUUGGAAACGACUGCUAAUACCGGAUGAUGACGAAAGUCCAAAGAUUUAUCGCCGGAGGAUGAGCCCGCGUAGGAUUAGCUAGUUGGGGUGGUAAAGGCGCACAAAGGCGACGAACCUUAGCUGGUCUGAGAGGAUGAUCAGCCACACUGGGACUGAGACACGGCCCAGACUCCUACGGGAGGCAGCAGUGGGGAAUAUUGGACAAUGGGCGAAAGCCUGAUCCAGCAAUGCCGCGUGAGUGAUGAAGGCCUUAGGGUUGUAAAGCUCUUUUACCCGGGAUGAUAAUGACAGUACCGGGAGAAUAAGCUCCGGCUAACUCCGUGCCAGCAGCCGCGGUAA
Molecule: ribosomal RNA, 449 nt
Filed under: uncultured bacterium
Lineage: Bacteria
Description: partial 16S ribosomal RNA
Rfam family: Bacterial small subunit ribosomal RNA
Source: RNAcentral